This is a long non-coding RNA of Gavialis gangeticus (Gharial), 108 nucleotides long. RefSeq lists it as uncharacterized. The transcript has 3 exons. The record is from RefSeq and is a predicted model, not a curated record. Lineage: Eukaryota; Metazoa; Chordata; Crocodylia; Gavialidae.
GCAGGGAGCAAUUCUGGUAGAUUUGGACAGAUUGGGGAAGUGGGCGGAACAGAAUAGGAUGCAGUUUAACAAAGAUAAAUGCCAUGUGUUGCAUCUAGGGAGGAAGAA